GACGAACGCUGGCGGCGUGCUUAACACAUGCAAGUCGAGCGAUGAAGCCGGAGCUUGCUCCGGUGGAUUAGUGGCGAACGGGUGAGUAACACGUGAGCAAUCUGCCCUUGACUCUGGGAUAACUGCGGGAAACUGUAGCUAAUACCGGAUACGACACCUUGGGGCAUCCCAGGGUGUGGAAAGAAUUUCGGUCAAGGAUGAGCUCGCGGCCUAUCAGCUAGUUGGUGAGGUAAUGGCUCACCAAGGCGACGACGGUUAGCCGGCCUGAGAGGGUGACCGGCCACACUGGAACUGAGACACGGUCCAGACUCCUACGGGAGGCAGCAGUGGGGAAUAUUGCACAAUGGGCGAAAGCCUGAUGCAGCAACGCCGCGUGAGGGAUGAAGGCCUUCGGGUUGUAAACCUCUUUUAGCAGGGAAGAAGCGAAAGUGACGGUACCUGCAGAAAAAGCACCGGCUAACUACGUGCCAGCAGCCGCAGUAA
Molecule: ribosomal RNA, 483 nt
Filed under: uncultured bacterium
Lineage: Bacteria
Description: partial 16S ribosomal RNA
Rfam family: Bacterial small subunit ribosomal RNA
Source: RNAcentral